This 445-nucleotide ribosomal RNA is filed under the name uncultured soil bacterium. RNAcentral's name for it is "bacterial SSU rRNA". It matches the Rfam family "Bacterial small subunit ribosomal RNA", at positions 26 to 518 of the family's 1533-position model. The record is from RNAcentral.
AGAGCGAACGCUGGCGGCAGGCCUAACACAUGCAAGUCGAACGGACCCUUCGGGGUUAGUGGCGGACGGGUGAGUAACACGUGGGAACGUGCCUUUAGGUUCGGAAUAGCUCCUGGAAACGGGUGGUAAUGCCGAAUGUGCCCUUCGGGGGAAAGAUUUAUCGCCUUUAGAGCGGCCCGCGUCUGAUUAGCUUGUUGGUGAGGUAAUGGCUCACCAAGGCUACGAUCAGUAGCUGGUCUGAGAGGAUGACCAGCCACAUUGGGACUGAGACACGGCCCAAACUCCUACGGGAGGCAGCAGUGGGGAAUCUUGCGCAAUGGGCGAAAGCCUGACGCAGCCAUGCCGCGUGUAUGAUGAAGGUCUUAGGAUUGUAAAAUACUUUCACCGGUGAAGAUAAUGACUGUAGCCGGAGAAGAAGCCCCGGCUAACUUCGUGCCGCAGCCGC